This is a long non-coding RNA of Gallus gallus (chicken), 1103 nucleotides long. RefSeq lists it as uncharacterized. Lineage: Eukaryota; Metazoa; Chordata; Aves; Galliformes; Phasianidae. The transcript is spliced from 3 exons. The record is from RefSeq and is a predicted model, not a curated record.
ACAGCCUUCAACAGCUCAGAAAAUCCUCUGCAUCCCCAGGGUCAGCAGUGCUGCCUUAUUUCUACACUCCCUGGAAGUGAUGAUGUCAGGAUCAGGGCACAUGGGAAUCCACCACCCCCUCCCUGCUGCCUCCUGCAGCAGCUCUCCUGCCCUGUGCAAUUACCAAAGUGUCACUGCUCAUUUGGACAGUGAUGGGAGGGUGGAAGGAGAAGGAACACACGACGUGGCUGAAAUACAUCAAACCCAGAAGCUUCAUUAGCCAUGCUCCAGAGAUCUGCAAAACCUUCAAAACUCGAUUGCUCUAUAAAUUUGUAAAGAUGCUGUGACACCAGCUUAACACAAGCUGAAGUCCCUGUAGCAAUGAGUGCUACUUGCAAGCAGUAGGAGAACACAACAGAUAGCAUCUCUCCAAAGACAACUUAAGGCAGUGGAAGUGUUGUGCCUACGUGUCUGCUCUGAUUUUGUAUUAAUUACUACUAUUACAGCAGAACCCAGAUGAGAUCAAGCUCUCUCAGAUACAACAAGGGACCAUUCUUGCUGCAAGUCUCCGUUCUCAUUUGAGUGACCAGACUCACCGUCUACCUUGCAACAAAAAGUAACGAGGAGUAAUAAGUCCGUAAGCUAAACAAGUGAAAGGAGCAGCUCAGCAUGGCCCCACAUGCCUCUGCUGAAAGCAUUUUGGAGAGUGAAGCACUUCAGAAGCCAGCCUGUGAGUUUGCACCUUCAACCUGGUCCUUUCCCAAUGGAGAAAAAUCUCAUUUUCCACAGCUAAUUGAUGCACAGAGCCAUUCGGCUCAUUGAAAUUAUGGAGAAUAAAGGGUUUUUUUUUUUUUUAUAGGCUAUCUAUUAGCAUUUUUAAUUUGCUACAUGAGGUAAGUUUUAAAAGGUGCCAGAGAGCAGUUUAAGAAAUUAGCUGUUCUUAGCAUUUUCUCCUCUUUCUGCCUGACUUGGGUCCUCAAAGCCUUAAUUAAAACCAGGGAGCACUUCCAGCAUGAGGCACUGCAGACGACACGCAGCAAGGCAAGUGGAAGUCCUCCAUGGAGCACCAUGGGGACCUCUGGUAGGACUGGGAAGUGAAAGUGCAAUUCUGAGAAUAGUCAAUU